UCACAGGCUUAGUUCGACAACAUGAAGGUGGUGAUUGUGAGGUGCUGCGACUGUAUAACCGUUCAAUAUAAAGACAAUCCAUUUACCACAUGAAGAGGAAAAUUGCAGCGCUGCUUUAAAGGAACAAGCCCCCGUGGAGUGAAUCCAUCUGUCUCCGAGCUAUCACGGCCUAUGCAGCAACAAUCUGUGGGAUCAACGCCAGCACAGCCGUGGAAUGCAUUACCCCUCCAACUGUGGCCACAUCAGGGAUGUGAUGGAUACACGGAGACCACUGAGGACUGACACAACACAAUGGGAGAAGACACACAGAAACAUCGGAGAGAGUCACAGAUGAGGGAUCCCUCUCCCAGGACGGACCGAAGUGCAAGAGAUGUGGCAUCUGUGGCGGAAUGAACCAGGUACAGUCUGAUUCCCAGAGAUCCCGCGGCUAUUUUUAUUCAUGUGUUUGUAAGUGUGGCGAGCAUCAGGGAGGCGCCGUCUUAUGGGACGACGGGUUUUCUACAUUCUGACACAACAUCUCGCCUGAAGCCAACAAGAGCAGCUCUCAGCCUGUCUGUCCUCAGUCCCAGGCACAUCCACUCCGACUGAAGCCACUCUACGUCUCAUCAAUAUUAACCUCCAUCCGUCAGGGCCUGGAGCCUGGAGAGGUGGCGUCCACCCUGGACAGGUCAUCGGGAUAUCCCAGGUUUACCUCUCCAGAGGGUUGGAUGGGUAAACAGCCACAUUCUGCCUCCAGAUAAGAGCCUGAGUGAAGUCUUUCUAAAUCGCAGACCUUGAAAUUGAAAUGCUGUAUCACCUGUCUCAUGUGUCCGCCUGGGAGAGGGGUCCACACGACACAUAAGAUCAACUCAACAACAGUGAGAGCCCUGGGCCCUGAUCAACACAUCUUGGAGCCUCUACAUGUGCUCGUGCUCGGCUCAGUGUGUGAACCAGUCCUGUUUCUGCUCUGCUGAGCCUCUUUUCCACUGCUGAUCACAGGACAAAACAGGGAUUAAAACAACACUAACACCAAAGGGCAACACAUCUCCACGGCGUCAACACAAACAUCUACGGUUAAACCAGUGUGUGUCUGUUAGGGUCUGUCGGUCACAGCCUCGCACCACAUGGAACAAAAUUUCAUACAUGAUUUCAUCCGUGUACCAACCACCAGCUAAUGAGCCAGAUCCACAAAUUCCUAUUGGCCCUGAUAUAGGUCAGGUCUAUCCACUGGAGCAUGACAGCCAUGGUACAGUGUUCCUGCACUAACUGCAUGUGCUGCUGGGAGAUGUGGUAGGAUGAUCCUUGUACUUAUUACAGCCAUCUCUGUGUUAGUGCACAUGCAGAGACACACACUGGGUGUACAGCUGUGUGCCCUCCUGCCAUGAGACCUGUAUUUGUGCAGUAACACCCUGGAGGGGAUUGUUUGGUGCUGUGCAAGUGGUGACGUGGGUUAAUAAUGCAAAGACGGCUCAACUUUGAGUUUUGUGUGAUGUUGGGACAUUUCUCCUCAUCACACACACAACCACAUACACAUAAUACAGCACAUGUCUGUUAUUAGUGAAUGAGAAGGGGAUCAAACUCACCCAAAAUCCCAACAACAAAAAGUUUUCUCAGCACUGCGCUCUCAUGUGUAUGAUCCAUCACGCUGUGACGAUCCACUCGCAAUUUGGAAGAAAACCUCAGCUGCUGCUGCUGCUGCUCCGGGAACACGCACAUUUGAAGCGAACCAUGGUUACAAUUAUCUCCAUCGUGCAGAUCCGAGCUCCGUCAUGAGCCCGCACAGAGAGGCCGCGAGAA
This is a long non-coding RNA of Pleuronectes platessa (European plaice), 1776 nucleotides long. RefSeq lists it as uncharacterized. NCBI's taxonomy places the organism in Eukaryota, Metazoa, Chordata, Actinopteri, Pleuronectiformes, Pleuronectidae. The record is from RefSeq and is a predicted model, not a curated record. The transcript has 4 exons.